UACACCGUGUAUCAUCAGUACACCGGAUAUAGGUACUAACCAAGCGGGCAUGAUCGAUUUUGACCUUACAAGGUAACGAAGAUCUUUGUUUUGCUUUAUCAAUAUUCAAUGUACAUUUCUCAAAAUUUUAAAUUCCUGCUCCCAAAUAAUUUUUGCAUCGAUUUUUUCCUAUUCAUAAAACAACUUUGAUAUUCAAAUAAGAACAAUUAACUUGUUCAUGCGCAAAUAGUUGUGAAAGUCAACACCCACUUUCAAUUCGAUACAGUUGUUGAGACAUUUACAUGUUUUAUCUGAAAGAAACCUAAUACA
RNAcentral lists this long non-coding RNA (309 nucleotides) under Mytilus galloprovincialis (Mediterranean mussel). The record is from RNAcentral. Lineage: Eukaryota; Metazoa; Mollusca; Bivalvia; Mytilida; Mytilidae.